GUAAUCAAAAGUCUGCUAAUUACAGACCUGUAUGAAAGAGUAAACUUCUAGAAACUAUGCUAAAAGAAAAAUAAAAAUUAAAAAAAUAAAAAAAUAGUUUUUAACCCGCAAGACGAGAAGACCCUAAAAAGUUCACCAACCAAGGUUAUUUGGGGUAAAUAAAUAAGACAUAUUAUAUUAAUUUAUAUUUUAAAAACAUAAAAAAAAACUACUUUAGGGAUAACAGAACAAUGUAUAAACUUAGACCUCAUAUUUCUAUAAUUUUGUGACCUCGAUGUUGGAUUCUUUAACCUGCGGCCCGCAAUCGGGCCGCAAGGAAGACUGUUCGUUUUUAAAAUAAAG
RNAcentral lists this ribosomal RNA (342 nucleotides) under Phytoptus rotundus. RNAcentral's name for it is "partial 16S ribosomal RNA". Lineage: Eukaryota; Metazoa; Arthropoda; Arachnida; Trombidiformes; Phytoptidae. The record is from RNAcentral.